AUUGAACGCUGGCGGCAGGCCUAACACAUGCAAGUCGAGCGAGCGGCGGACGGGUGAGUAAUGUAUGGGGACUGCCCGAUAGAGGGGGAUAACUACUGGAAACGGUGGCUAAUACCGCAUACUAUCGGAUAACCCAUAUGGGAUUAGCUAGUAGGUGGGGUAAAGGCUCACCUAGGCGACGAUCUCUAGCUGGUCUGAGAGGAUGAUCACCACCACGGGGAUUGAGACAGGGCCCAGACCCCUCCGGAGGCAGCAGUGGGGAUUAUGGCAAAAGGGGGGCAAGCCUGAUGCAGCCAUGCCGCGUGUAUGAAGAAGGCUUUAGGUUUGUAAAGUAUUUUCACCGGGAGGCGUUACCCGCAGAAGAAGCACCGGCUAACUCCGUGCCAGCAGCCGCGGUAAUUC
This 402-nucleotide ribosomal RNA is filed under the name uncultured bacterium. Its description in RNAcentral is "partial 16S ribosomal RNA". It matches the Rfam family "Bacterial small subunit ribosomal RNA", at positions 30 to 526 of the family's 1533-position model. The record is from RNAcentral.